CUGGCGGCGUGCCUAAUACAUGCAAGUAGAACGCUGAAGAGAGGAGCUUGCUCUUCUUGGAUGAGUUGCGAACGGGUGAGUAACGCGUAGGUAACCUGCCUUGUAGCGGGGGAUAACUAUUGGAAACGAUAGCUAAUACCGCAUAACAAUGGAUGACACAUGUCAUUUAUUUGAAAGGGGCAAUUGCUCCACUACAAGAUGGACCUGCGUUGUAUUAGCUAGUAGGUGAGGUAAUGGCUCACCUAGGCGACGAUACAUAGCCGACCUGAGAGGGUGAUCGGCCACACUGGGACUGAGACACGGCCCAGACUCCUACGGGAGGCAGCAGUAGGGAAUCUUCGGCAAUGGGGGCAACCCUGACCGAGCAACGCCGCGUGAGUGAAGAAGGUUUUCGGAUCGUAAAGCUCUGUUGUAAGUCAAGAACGGGUGUGAGAGUGGAAAGUUCACACUGUGACGGUAGCUUACCAGAAAGGGACGGCUAACUACGUGCCAGCAGCCGCGGUAAUACGUAGGUCCCGAGCGUUGUCCGGAUUUAUUGGGCGUAAAGCGAGCGCAGGCGGUUUGAUAAGUCUGAAGUUAAAGGCUGUGGCUCAACCAUAGUUCGCUUUGGAAACUGUCAAACUUGAGUGCAGAAGGGGAGAGUGGAAUUCCAUGUGUAGCGGUGAAAUGCGUAGAUAUAUGGAGGAACACCGGUGGCGAAAGCGGCUCUCUGGUCUGUAACUGACGCUGAGGCUCGAAAGCGUGGGGAGCGAACAGGAUUAGAUACCCUGGUAGUCCACGCCGUAAACGAUGAGUGCUAGGUGUUGGAUCCUUUCCGGGAUUCAGUGCCGCAGCUAACGCAUUAAGCACUCCGCCUGGGGAGUACGACCGCAAGGUUGAAACUCAAAGGAAUUGACGGGGGCCCGCACAAGCGGUGGAGCAUGUGGUUUAAUUCGAAGCAACGCGAAGAACCUUACCAGGUCUUGACAUCCCGAUGCUAUUUCUAGAGAUAGAAAGUUACUUCGGUACAUCGGUGACAGGUGGUGCAUGGUUGUCGUCAGCUCGUGUCGUGAGAUGUUGGGUUAAGUCCCGCAACGAGCGCAACCCCUAUUGUUAGUUGCCAUCAUUCAGUUGGGCACUCUAGCGAGACUGCCGGUAAUAAACCGGAGGAAGGUGGGGAUGACGUCAAAUCAUCAUGCCCCUUAUGACCUGGGCUACACACGUGCUACAAUGGUUGGUACAACGAGUUGCGAGUCGGUGACGGCGAGCUAAUCUCUUAAAGCCAAUCUCAGUUCGGAUUGUAGGCUGCAACUCGCCUACAUGAAGUCGGAAUCGCUAGUAAUCGCGGAUCAGCACGCCGCGGUGAAUACGUUCCCGGGCCUUGUACACACCGCCCGUCACACCACGAGAGUUUGUAACACCCGAAGUCGGUGAGGUAACCUUUUGGAGCCAGCCGCCUAAGGUGGGACA
This 1449-nucleotide ribosomal RNA is filed under the name Streptococcus thermophilus. Its description in RNAcentral is "bacterial SSU rRNA". It matches the Rfam family "Bacterial small subunit ribosomal RNA". Lineage: Bacteria; Bacillati; Bacillota; Bacilli; Lactobacillales; Streptococcaceae. The record is from RNAcentral.